This 1357-nucleotide ribosomal RNA is filed under the name uncultured bacterium. Its description in RNAcentral is "bacterial SSU rRNA". It matches the Rfam family "Bacterial small subunit ribosomal RNA", at positions 28 to 1381 of the family's 1533-position model. The record is from RNAcentral.
AUUGAACGCUGGCGGCAGGCCUAACACAUGCAAGUCGAGCGGAUGAAGGGAGCUUGCUCCUGGAUUCAGCGGCGGACGGGUGAGUAAUGCCUAGGAAUCUGCCUGGUAGUGGGGGAUAACGUCCGGAAACGGGCGCUAAUACCGCAUACGUCCUGAGGGAGAAAGUGGGGGAUCUUCGGACCUCACGCUAUCAGAUGAGCCUAGGUCGGAUUAGCUAGUUGGUGGGGUAAAGGCCUACCAAGGCGACGAUCCGUAACUGGUCUGAGAGGAUGAUCAGUCACACUGGAACUGAGACACGGUCCGGACUCCUACGGGAGGCAGCAGUGGGGAAUAUUGGACAAUGGGCGAAAGCCUGAUCCAGCCAUGCCGCGUGUGUGAAGAAGGUCUUCGGAUUGUAAAGCACUUUAAGUUGGGAGGAAGGGCAGUAAGUUAAUACCUUGCUGUUUUGACGUUACCAACAGAAUAAGCACCGGCUAACUUCGUGCCAGCAGCCGCGGUAAUACGAAGGGUGCAAGCGUUAAUCGGAAUUACUGGGCGUAAAGCGCGCGUAGGUGGUUCAGCAAGUUGGAUGUGAAAUCCCCGGGCUCAACCUGGGAACUGCAUCCAAAACUACUGAGCUAGAGUACGGUAGAGGGUGGUGGAAUUUCCUGUGUAGCGGUGAAAUGCGUAGAUAUAGGAAGGAACACCAGUGGCGAAGGCGACCACCUGGACUGAUACUGACACUGAGGUGCGAAAGCGUGGGGAGCAAACAGGAUUAGAUACCCUGGUAGUCCACGCCGUAAACGAUGUCGACUAGCCGUUGGGAUCCUUGAGAUCUUAGUGGCGCAGCUAACGCGAUAAGUCGACCGCCUGGGGAGUACGGCCGCAAGGUUAAAACUCAAAUGAAUUGACGGGGGCCCGCACAAGCGGUGGAGCAUGUGGUUUAAUUCGAAGCAACGCGAAGAACCUUACCUGGCCUUGACAUGCUGAGAACUUUCCAGAGAUGGAUUGGUGCCUUCGGGAACUCAGACACAGGUGCUGCACGGCUGUCGUCAGCUCGUGUCGUGAGAUGUUGGGUUAAGUCCCGUAACGAGCGCAACCCUUGUCCUUAGUUACCAGCGCCUCGGGUGGGCACUCUAAGGAGACUGCCGGUGACAAACCGGAGGAAGGAGGGGAUGACGUCAAGUCAUCAUGGCCCUUACGGCCAGGGCUACACACGUGCUACAAUGGUCGGUACAAAGGGUUGCCAAGCCCCGAGGUGGAGCUAAUCCCAUAAAACCGAUCGUAGUCCGGAUCGCAGUCUGCAACUCGACUGCGUGAAGUCGGAAUCGCUAGUAAUCGUGAAUCAGAAUGUCACGGUGAAUACGUUUCCGGGCCU